RNAcentral lists this ribosomal RNA (1884 nucleotides) under human gut metagenome. Its description in RNAcentral is "bacterial LSU rRNA". It matches the Rfam family "Bacterial large subunit ribosomal RNA", at positions 3 to 1980 of the family's 2925-position model. The record is from RNAcentral.
UCAAGCGAACAAGGGCGCAGGGCGAAUGCCUUGGCACUGGGAGCCGAUGAAAGACGUGAUAAGCUGCGAUAAGCUUCGGGGAGCUGCAAAUAAGCAUUGAUCCGGAGAUUUCUGAAUGAGGAAACUCACCUGGGUUCAUACUCAGGUACGUUAUACUGAACUUCAAAAUAGGUAUAUCGAGGGAACCGCCUGAACUGAAACAUCUAAGUAGGGCGAGGAAGAGACAUCAAACGAGAUUCCGUAAGUAGUGGCGAGCGAACGCGGAAGAGGGCAAACCGAGAGUAGAAAUACUUUCGGGGUACGGACUGCUUUUAGGACUUAAUCUGUUAACCGAACGGCAUGGGAAGGCCGGUCAGAGAGUGUGAGAACCACGUAGGUGAAAACGGAGAGAGCUGCGCAGGAUCCAGAGUACGGCCAGACACGUGAAACCUGGUCGGAAUACGGGGGGACCACCCUCCAACCCUAAAUACUACCCAGUGACCGAUAGCGUAUAGUACUGUGAAGGAAAGGUGAAAAGCACCCCGGGAGGGGAGUGAAAGAGAACCUGAAACCCUGUGCCUACAAGCACCUAGAGCACGUCAAUGUGUGAUAGGGUACUUUUUGUAGAACGGUCCGGCGAGCGAUUGUAUGCAGCAAGGUUAAGGACUUAAGGUCUGGAGCCGAAGCGAAAGCGAGUUUGAAAAGGGCGUUAAGUUGCAUAUAAUGGGCCCGAAACCGGGUGACCUACCCAUGGUCAGGUUGAAGUGGAAGUAAAAUUCCAUGGAGGACCGAACCGACCUCCGUUGAAAAGGCGGCGGAUGAACUGUGGGUAGCGGAGAAAUUCCAAUCGAACCCGGAGAUAGCUGGUUCUCCCCGAAAUAGUUUUAGGACUAGCCUCAAGUUAGAUACCUGGAGGUAAAGCACUGAAUAGCCUAGCGGCCGAGAGGUUAGCGAAGCUUAUCAAACUCAGAAUGCCAGAGUAUUGAUGCUUGGGAGUCAGACAGUGUCAGAUAAAUGUCAUUGUCAAAAGGGAAACAGCCCAGAUCUACAGCUAAGGUCCCAAAGUCAGGUUAAGUGGAAAACGAUGUGAAGAUACGUAGACAACCAGGAUGUUGGCUCAGAAGCAGCCACUCAUUCAAAGAGUGCGUAAUAGCUCACUGGUCGAGCGUCUUUGCGCGGAGAAUUUAACGGGGCUAAACCUGACACCGAAGCUUAGGCAAUACAGCAAUGUAUUGGGUAGGGGAGCGUUGUAUACGCGGUGAAACAGUAGCGCAAGCGGCUGUGGAGUGUAUAGAAGUGAGAAUGCCGGAAUGAGUAGCGCGAAUGCAGUGAGAAUCUGCAUGGCCGAAAGCCUCAGGUUUCUGGAGGAAGGUUCGUCCGCUCCAGGUUAGUCGGGAGCUAAGGUGAGGCCUAACGGCGUAGCCGAUGCACAGACGGUAGAGAUUCCGUCACCACCAAAAGAGUUAAACACAGGGACACAUUUGAAGUCUCGGAGCCGGGUGUUGGUUCCGGUAGCGAUCGAGGGAAAUUAGUACCGAAGUCCGGGAUGGAAGAUGGCGAGAAAAGCUGUGUGUAUUUCUGCGGUGCCCGUACCGCAAACCGACACAGGUAGGUAGGAAGAAGAUUCUAAGGCCAACGGGAGAAGGGUUGUUAAGGAACUCGGCAAAUUGACCCCGUAACUUCGGGAGAAGGGGUGCUCCAGAGAUGGAGCCGCAGAGAAUCGGCCCAAGCAACUGUUUACCAAAAACACAGGUUUGUGCUAAAUCGAAAGAUGACGUAUACGAGCUGACGCCUGCCCGGUGCUGGAAGGUUAAGAGGAGAUGUGCAAGCAUUGAAUCGAAGCCCCAGUGAACGGCGGCCGUAACUAUAACGGUCCUAAGGUAGCGAAAUUCCUUGUCAGGUAAG